Molecule: long non-coding RNA, 1056 nt
Organism: Gadus macrocephalus (Pacific cod)
Lineage: Eukaryota; Metazoa; Chordata; Actinopteri; Gadiformes; Gadidae
Exons: 3
Source: RefSeq, a predicted model, not a curated record
CGAAGAAGACAUUUGAAAGAUGGCGCAGAUGUGGGAGGAGUCAGAGGUUUGAUUUCGGCGGACCAACCGGGACCAACAGCUACAAUGCAGCUGGGAGGAGAUUAAACCCACAACUGAUGUGAACAAACGAUGCAGCCGAAACACGACCGAGCAGUCCGCUUCACAUCCCGGGCCGACGUUGCAUAAACCACAGCACGAGCAAGAACAAGCCACCGAACAAGAGUACAGCCACCCAAGAGGAGGCCGACACUACACAUGGCUGACACAAUGCAUGAGAUGAGGCCCAUCAACCCUUCUCUGCCUCGCUCAGUAUCCCCACAUGGGACCCAAGCUGCAGCAGGGUGGCCGGGGAUGGGGAUGGGCCUGCUCGCUCUCUUCUGCUGCUGCUUCUCUUCAUGGGCGUGAAAGCUUCCGUCGGAGUACCAUAGACUCUGCUGUAGCAGGAACUACAGCAUACCACUCUUUUAACCCGUUGCUGUGUUACCCUGGAUCUGGCUGAACAGAUUGAUGGGACAACAUGUUUUCAGGAGAAGGGAGAACAGAGAAAAGCUUAUCUUGCUGUAUGGCGCUGUUGUCCUGUCUGGAGCAAUGUCCCCACUGGCAGGGUGAUCUAUGUCUGUUUCAGCACUCUGCACCGAUGCAAUCUCCAGGGACACUCUGAGAGCAACAGGGCCACGACGCUCUGUGAUAAGAUCACUGAGCAAAGCUCUGCUAAGAGAUGCUGUUAAGCCUUCACAUUUUGCGCUUUUACAAUCUGCCCCUUCCCAAACGCUCCCGUCUGAUGCUGGUGUUAACGGGCCACACAGUUUCUGUUUGCAGAAGCGAAGAUUCGCCUGCAUGAUGUUGGAAAUGAGCUAAAAUAUGGAGAAGUGUGACAAUCAUACGCCUUGUAUUAUUUUAUGCUGCCACCAUCUGCCUCCUCUAUCAUCAUUGGUAGCAUUACUUGUUAGACAUAAAAAUGUCGUUAUGGAUCAUUUCAAAAUAGAUAAUGGAAAGCUCUAUUUUUUUGAUUGUGGCUUGUAAUUAGAUUUUUGUUUGGUAACCGAGAGGACAAGA